GACGGAGGAUGCAAGCGUUAUCCGGAAUUAUUGGGGGUAAAGCGUCCGCCGGGGGACAUACAAUUUGGCUUUCAAAGUGCAGAGCUUAACUCUGUAAAGGCGGUGGAAACUGUAGGUCUUGAGUAUGGUAGGGGUAGAGGGAAUUCCCGGUGUAGCGGUGAAAUGCGUAGAUAUCGGGAAGAACACCAGUGGCGAAAGCGCUCUACUGGGCCAUAACUGACACUGAGGGACGAAAGCUAGGGGAGCGAAAGGG
This 253-nucleotide ribosomal RNA is filed under the name uncultured bacterium. RNAcentral's name for it is "partial 16S ribosomal RNA". It matches the Rfam family "Bacterial small subunit ribosomal RNA", at positions 524 to 776 of the family's 1533-position model. The record is from RNAcentral.